ACCGAAAGACGAUUAAUUUCGUUUUUUAGUCAUAAAAAAACCUGCCAGCGAUGGCAGGUUUUUUUUUGCC
This 70-nucleotide small RNA is filed under the name Escherichia coli. RNAcentral describes it as "Enterobacterial sRNA STnc370". It matches the Rfam family "Enterobacterial sRNA STnc370". The record is from RNAcentral. Lineage: Bacteria; Pseudomonadati; Pseudomonadota; Gammaproteobacteria; Enterobacterales; Enterobacteriaceae. RNAcentral also lists the same sequence under 1 other name.